CUGGAAAACAUUCCCAGAUGUGUCCGGGCUACGCUAUGUGCAAGUGAAAUAUCUACAGAACUGGUGCCAGAUGCUGAAAGCACAUAUUGAUUGUGGCUUGCGCGUUUGAUACUUGACGAGGAUGUUGUGAGCAGGUGCUCCCUGACAUUUGUUGCUGGACAAACAGAGCCGGUGAUGGGGGAGAACUGGAGACCUGUCGGUCAUCACUGUCAGUCUAUUGAGGUUUCUUUCCUGGCAUGCAAGAGUUGUCUCCCUGUCAGCUUCAUCACACCAGGAGACAUGACCAUCUGAGACAAACUACUGACAGAAAUUGAUCCUCUACAGGAGACACACAGCAAGUCAAGAUGUGCCACCUUUUCCUUCAAUCCCAUUCACAAGGAGCACACAUCAAGUCUACAUCUACCACCUCUUGCUACAACACUAUUUGGAAGGCGCACAUAGCGCUGCCUCUUGUUAUGUGGCAAUGGUAUUCCGAUGCUUCCAGCCAUCUUGUAGGGAUGAAUCCAUGCAAGGCACAUCAGUGCCCGCUCUGCCACCUGAUCCAGCAGCCCCCCUCCACCCUUCCUCCAUACAGGCAACCAGGGACAUUCUCCACAAUACUAUGUCACAGUGGCUUUGUCAAGUAAAUUGGACGUCCUUUCAAGUCAAAUGGAAUUUCUAGGAGCAGAGCGAGUCUAGCAGUCAGCAGAUGCUUAAUGUCCACCUAUGUUUAUGACAGAGACAAGAUGGCUGACACCAAGGGGUGGUGGGUAGUCUGGGAGUGAAAAUGGUCUCUCAUCCCACAGAACAUCUCCAUGUGGGUAUUAAUUGGGAAAUCAUGUCUUAGUGAACGCUGUAGCAAUAUUGAUGGAAAAAAAUAAUCACUCACUCACUCACACAUCCACAUCAUUUCCUGGUGUACCUGAUUGUGAUAAUGUUGGGAUAUUGCUGAGCAUGAUGUAAAAAUUCACUCACUCACAUACUGCUGAGGGCCACUCACCUAAAAUUUUAACUUCAAAGGAGACAAGAUCAAGUCUAUAUUUCAGGUCUGAAACACGUGGCCACACAUGGUCACAAGUUCACCCAUACCACCAGUCCAAGAAAUUCUAACACAUGCUGCUGUAACAAGAACACAUCUUUAUCCCUAGGACAAUUCCCAACAAAGGAGCCCACAGCAUAUCCACCUAUGCUGCUGUUACAAAAACAGUUCUUCAUCCCCACAACAAUUCCCAGAAGCCCCAGCAUGUCUACCCUCGUUGCCAUGUGGCAGUGAUAAGCCUCCAUCAUCUCCCUGUCUGAGCACAAGGCCACUUCGGUCUUUGCAUCAGGAGUAUGUAGGUCGUUACAGACCGGUGCAGUGUGGCGCCCCCCCUACAAUCAGCUGGCCGGCCCCCACCUAGCGG
Haliotis rufescens (red abalone) is the source of this 1382-nucleotide long non-coding RNA. RefSeq lists it as uncharacterized. The transcript has 4 exons. The record is from RefSeq and is a predicted model, not a curated record. Lineage: Eukaryota; Metazoa; Mollusca; Gastropoda; Lepetellida; Haliotidae.